This 468-nucleotide ribosomal RNA is filed under the name uncultured bacterium. Its description in RNAcentral is "partial 16S ribosomal RNA". It matches the Rfam family "Bacterial small subunit ribosomal RNA", at positions 28 to 507 of the family's 1533-position model. The record is from RNAcentral.
GACGAACGCUGGCGGCGUGCUUAACACAUGCAAGUCGAACGGAAAGGCCCUGCUUUUGUGGGGUGCUCGAGUGGCUAACGGUUGAGUAACACGUGAGUAACCUGCCCUUGACUUUGGGAUAACUUCAGGAAACUGGUUCUAAUACCGUAUAUGAUCUCCUGCUUCAUUUUGUUGGUUUGAAAUUUUCGGCGGUUGGGGAUGGACUCGCGGCUUAUCAUCUUGUUGGUUGUGUAGUUGCUUACCAAGGCUUUGACGGGUAGCCGGCCUGAGAGGGUGAACGGCCACAGUGGGACUGAGAGACGGCCCAGACUCCAACGGGAGGCAGCAGUGGGGAAUAUUGCACAAUGGGAGGAAGCCUGAUGCAGCAACGCCGCGUGCGGGAUGACGGCCUUCGGGUUGUAAACAGCUUGCGCCUGUGACGAAGCGUGAGUGACGGUAAUGGGUAAAGAAGCACCGGCUAACUACGUG